CCUACGGGAGGCUGCAGUGAGGAAUAUUGGUCAAUGGGCGCGAGCCUGAACCAGCCAAGUAGCGUGAAGGAUGACUGCCCUACGGGUUGUAAACUUCUUUUAUCAAGGAAUAAAGUGAGGCACGUGUGCCUGUUUGAAUGUACUUUAUGAAUAAGCAUCGGCUAACUCCGUGCCAGCAGCCGCGGGAAUACGGAGGAUCCGAGCGUUAUCCGGAGUUAUUGGGUUUAAAGGGGGCGUAGAUGGGUUGUUAAGUCAGUUGUGAAAGUUUGCGGCUCAACCGUCAAAUUGCAAUUGAUACUGGCAGUCUUGAGUACGGUUGAGGUAGGCGGAAUUCGUGGUGUAGCGGUGAAAUGCUUAGAUAUCGCGAAGAACUCCGAUUGCGAAGGCAGCUUACUAAACUGCCACUGACAUUGAUGCUCGAAAGUGUGGGUAUCAAACAGGAUUAGAUACCCGAGUAGUC
RNAcentral lists this ribosomal RNA (460 nucleotides) under uncultured bacterium. Its description in RNAcentral is "partial 16S ribosomal RNA". It matches the Rfam family "Bacterial small subunit ribosomal RNA", at positions 338 to 795 of the family's 1533-position model. The record is from RNAcentral.